This is a long non-coding RNA of Etheostoma cragini (Arkansas darter), 139 nucleotides long. RefSeq lists it as uncharacterized. The record is from RefSeq and is a predicted model, not a curated record. The transcript is spliced from 3 exons. Lineage: Eukaryota; Metazoa; Chordata; Actinopteri; Perciformes; Percidae.
UUUUCUGACAUUUUUUCUCACUUUUUGCGUUCUUUUAUCAUUUUUUUCCCAAUGCAAUACAAUUGAUUUAAACCAAAUGUAAUGAAAGGACUGAACUGAUCGUUUAUUUGACUUGUUACGAGCGUUGCAUGGAACAGUC